Molecule: ribosomal RNA, 465 nt
Filed under: uncultured bacterium
Lineage: Bacteria
Description: partial 16S ribosomal RNA
Rfam family: Bacterial small subunit ribosomal RNA
Source: RNAcentral
GACGAACGCUGGCGGCGUGCUUAACACAUGCAAGUCGAACGCUGAACCCGCUUCGGUGGGGGAUGAGUGGCGAACGGGUGAGUAACACGUGGGCAACCUGCCCCCGGCUCUGGGAUAACUCCAAGAAAUUGGGGCUAAUACCGGAUGUGACCGCUGGCCGCAUGGUCUGGUGGUGGAAAGGAUUUCCGGCUGGGGAUGGGCCCGCGGCCUAUCGGCUUGUUGGUGGGGUAGUGGCCUACCAAGGCGCCGACGGGUAGCCGGCCUGAGAGGGUGACCGGCCACACUGGGACUGAGACACGGACCAGACUCGUACGGGAGGCAGCAGUGGGGAAUAUUGCGCAAUGGGCGGAAGCCUGACGCAGCGACGCCGCGUGGGGGAUGACGGCCUUCGGGUUGUAAACCUCUUUCAGCAGGGACGAAGAGCAAGUGACGGUACCUGCAGAAGAAGCACCGGCCAACUACGUG